Molecule: long non-coding RNA, 141 nt
Organism: Gavialis gangeticus (Gharial)
Lineage: Eukaryota; Metazoa; Chordata; Crocodylia; Gavialidae
Exons: 3
Source: RefSeq, a predicted model, not a curated record
CAUGAAUGUAGCUAUAUUACUCAUCUAUAAUUGAUUGAGUACAAAAUUCUGUGUUAUUUUUGGUGAAAAUAGGGUUUUGGGCCUGGGUUCAGGAACCGAUCCCCCAUUUAUAACAUUGUUCCUAUGGGGAAAAGCGGCCCC